This is a non-coding RNA of Paramuricea clavata, 73 nucleotides long. The record is from the annotation of a GenBank genome assembly. Lineage: Eukaryota; Metazoa; Cnidaria; Anthozoa; Malacalcyonacea; Plexauridae.
GACCGCGUAGCUCAGUUGGCAGAGCAUUGGGCUAGUAUUCCAAAGGUCGUAGGUUCGAUUCCCACCGCGGUCA